Molecule: ribosomal RNA, 60 nt
Filed under: Pleosporales sp.
Lineage: Eukaryota; Fungi; Ascomycota; Dothideomycetes; Pleosporales
Description: partial 28S ribosomal RNA
Rfam family: Eukaryotic large subunit ribosomal RNA
Source: RNAcentral
AAUUGACCUCGGAUCAGGUAGGGAUACCCGCUGAACUUAAGCAUAUCAAUAAGCGGAGGA